GCGCCAAUAGUCUAGUGGCUAGGACCUCUGACUUCCAAUCAGAAUACCUGGGUUCAAUUCCCAGUUGGCGCACCA
RNAcentral lists this transfer RNA (75 nucleotides) under Candidatus Heimdallarchaeum endolithica. RNAcentral describes it as "tRNA-Gly". It matches the Rfam family "tRNA". From Rfam's summary of the family: Transfer RNA (tRNA) molecules are approximately 80 nucleotides in length. Their secondary structure includes four short double-helical elements and three loops (D, anti-codon, and T loops). Lineage: Archaea; Promethearchaeati; Candidatus Heimdallarchaeota; Candidatus Heimdallarchaeia (ex Rinke et al. 2021) (nom. nud.); Candidatus Heimdallarchaeales; Candidatus Heimdallarchaeaceae. The record is from RNAcentral.